UUAAUUGCAGUUCAAGUGCUUUUUGGAGAUUGUCAAUCAAUCGGUUUUGUUAUUGAGAGACUACAAAGUUCCCUCCCCCUUAUCACACACCAGAGCCAGACCCAUUCCACACCCAGCCAACUCGGGCCAUUCAUACUUUUGAACUGGUUAAGAGUUUUAACCUUCAGGCAUUACAAUUCCCUGGCGCUAGGCAUGGAUCGCCUUAAAUGCGAUCAUUUCAUGCUACAAACCGAUUCGUUUCGUCAACGACUUGAACUCCCUCCCCGACAGAUCAAUCCAGUUGCAAUUGAAAGUUGGUCAUGCCGGCUGUGUGGGUGUGGAUGCUAUAUUGGCUCAUACAACAGACAUUCAGCCAAUGGAUCGUUAAAGAGCAUGUCUUUAUGCGGCCAUCGGGUAUGACUGUCCAUCAUCAUCCAUCUGAGGUUCACAAAGUAUACAUCGAAUAUUUGAAAAAGCCCGCUACAUCAGUUCAGCCAGGGAAUAAUCGAAAAGAACCAAAGGAACCAAAUGAACGAGAAAAAAUGAAGAAAAAGAAAGUCAUUUCGACUAAGAAAAAAAUAUAUUAUGUGGUGCCCAAGAAACCGGGA
Long non-coding RNA from Drosophila pseudoobscura, 587 nucleotides. RefSeq lists it as uncharacterized. The record is from RefSeq and is a predicted model, not a curated record. Lineage: Eukaryota; Metazoa; Arthropoda; Insecta; Diptera; Drosophilidae. The transcript is spliced from 2 exons.